Molecule: ribosomal RNA, 253 nt
Filed under: uncultured bacterium
Lineage: Bacteria
Description: partial 16S ribosomal RNA
Rfam family: Bacterial small subunit ribosomal RNA
Source: RNAcentral
UACAGAGGGUGCAAGCGUUAUCCGGAUUCACUGGGUUUAAAGGGUGCGUAGGUGGGCAGGUAAGUCAGUGGUGAAAUCUCCGGGCUUAACCCGGAAACUGCCGUUGAUACUAUCUGUCUUGAAUAUAGUGGAGGUGAGCGGAAUAUGUCAUGUAGCGGUGAAAUGCUUAGAUAUGACAUAGAACAUCGAUUGCGAAGGCAGCUCGCUACGCUAUUAUUGACACUGAGGCACGAAAGCGCGGGGAUCAAACAGG